CCUACGGGGGGCUGCAGUGGGGAAUAUUGGACAAUGGGCGAAAGCCUGAUCCAGCCAUGCCGCGUGUGUGAAGAAGGCCUUCGGGUUGUAAAGCACUUUCAGUGGGGAAGAAAGCCUUGGGGCUAAUACCCUCGAGGAAGGACAUCACCCACAGAAGAAGCACCGGCUAACUCCGUGCCAGCAGCCGCGGUAAUACGGAGGGUGCGAGUGUUAAUCGGAAUUACUGGGCGUAAAGCGCGCGUAGGCGGUCUGAUAAGCCGGUUGUGAAAGCCCCGGGCUCAACCUGGGAACGGCAUCCGGAACUGUCAGGCUAGAGUGCAGGAGAGGAAGGUAGAAUUCCCGGUGUAGCGGUGAAAUGCGUAGAGAUCGGGAGGAAUACCAGUGGCGAAGGCGGCCUUCUGGACUGACACUGACGCUGAGGUGCGAAAGCGUGGGUAGCAAACAGGAUUAGAUACCCGAGUAGUC
RNAcentral lists this ribosomal RNA (465 nucleotides) under Vreelandella stevensii. Its description in RNAcentral is "partial 16S ribosomal RNA". It matches the Rfam family "Bacterial small subunit ribosomal RNA", at positions 338 to 795 of the family's 1533-position model. The record is from RNAcentral. Lineage: Bacteria; Pseudomonadati; Pseudomonadota; Gammaproteobacteria; Oceanospirillales; Halomonadaceae.